UAGUCAUAUGCUUGUCUCAAAGACUAAGCCAUGCAUGUCUAAGUAUAAACACCUUUAUACUGUUGAAACUGCGAACGGCUCAUUAUAUCAGUUAUAAUCUACUUGAUCGUAUACUCUUACUUGGAUAACCGUAGUAAUUCUAGAGCUAAUACAUGCAAAAAAUCCCGACGCAAGAAGGGAUGUAUUUAUUAGGUACAAAAUCAAUGCUGGCCUUUGGUCAGAUUAUUGAUGAUUCAUAAUAACUAAACGAAGCGCAGGGCUCGUCCCGGCGCUGAUA
Molecule: ribosomal RNA, 277 nt
Filed under: uncultured eukaryote
Lineage: Eukaryota
Description: partial 18S ribosomal RNA
Rfam family: Eukaryotic small subunit ribosomal RNA
Source: RNAcentral